Molecule: ribosomal RNA, 458 nt
Filed under: uncultured bacterium
Lineage: Bacteria
Description: partial 16S ribosomal RNA
Rfam family: Bacterial small subunit ribosomal RNA
Source: RNAcentral
AACGAACGCUGGCGGCAGGCCUAACACAUGCAAGUCGAGCGAGGACUUCGGUCCUAGCGGCGGACGGGUGAGUAACGCGUGGGAACGUGCCCUUUGCUUCGGAAUAGCUCUGGGAAACUGGGAGUAAUACCGGAUGAGCCCUUUGGGGGAAAGAUUUAUCGGCGAAGGAUCGGCCCGCGUUGGAUUAGGUAGUUGGUGGGGUAAUGGCCUACCAAGCCGACGAUCCAUAGCUGGUUUGAGAGGAUGAUCAGCCACACUGGGACUGAGACACGGCCCAGACUCCUACGGGAGGCAGCAGUGGGGAAUCUUAGACAAUGGGGGAAACCCUGAUCUAGCCAUGCCGCGUGAGCGAUGAAGGCCUUCGGAUCGUAAAACUCUGUUAUUAGGGAAGAACAAAUGUGUAAGUAACUAUGCACGUCUUGACGGUACCUAAUCAGAAAGCCACGGCUAACUACGUG